This 54-nucleotide ribosomal RNA is filed under the name uncultured Greenland glacial ice fungus IM132-2. Its description in RNAcentral is "partial 5.8S ribosomal RNA". It matches the Rfam family "5.8S ribosomal RNA", at positions 1 to 51 of the family's 154-position model. Rfam says of the family: 5.8S ribosomal RNA (5.8S rRNA) is a component of the large subunit of the eukaryotic ribosome. It is transcribed by RNA polymerase I as part of the 45S precursor that also contains 18S and 28S rRNA. Lineage: Eukaryota; Fungi; Ascomycota. The record is from RNAcentral.
UACAACUUUCAACAACGGAUCUCUUGGUUCUGGCAUCGAUGAAGAACGCAGCAG